Long non-coding RNA from Oncorhynchus keta (chum salmon), 940 nucleotides. RefSeq lists it as uncharacterized. Lineage: Eukaryota; Metazoa; Chordata; Actinopteri; Salmoniformes; Salmonidae. The transcript has 4 exons. The record is from RefSeq and is a predicted model, not a curated record.
UUAGGUCUGUGGCAGUCAUGACAUUUUGGCAUGGGUAGGAUUAGGUCUGUGGCAGUCAUGACAUUUUGGCAUGGGUAGGAUUAGGUCUGUGGCAGUCAUGACAUUUUGGCAUGGGUAGGAUUAGGUCUGUGGCAGUCAUGACAUUUUGGCAUGGGUAGGAUUAGGUCUGUGGCAGUCAUGACAUUUUGGCAUGGGUAGGAUUAGGUCUGUGGCAGUCAUGACAUUUUGGCAUGGGUAGGAUUAGGUCUGUGGCAGUCAUGACAUUUUGGCAUGGGUAGGAUUAGGUCUGUGGCAGUCAUGACAUUUUGGCAUGGGUAGGAUUAGGUCUGUGGCAGUCAUGACAUUUUGGCAUGGGUAGGAUUAGGUCUGUGGCAGUCAUGACAUUUUGGCAUGGGUAGGAUUAGGUCUGUGGCAGUCAUGACAUUUUGGCAUGGGUAGGAUUAGGUCUGUGGCAGUCAUGACAUUUUGGCAUGGGUAGGAUUAGGUCUGUGGCAGUCAUGACAUUUUGGCAUGGGUAGGAUUAGGUCUGUGGCAGUCAUGACAUUUUGGCAUGGGUAGGAUUAGGUCUGUGGCAGUCAUGACAUUUUGGCAUGGGUAGGAUUAGGUCUGUGGCAGUCAUGACAUUUUGGCAUGGGUAGGAUUAGGUCUGUGGCAGUCAUGACAUUUUGGCAUGGGUAGGAUUAGGUCUGUGGCAGUCAUGACAUUUUGGCAUGGGUAGGAUUAGGUCUGUGGCAGUCAUGACAUUUUGGCAUGGGUAGGAUUAGGUCUGUGGCAGUCAUGACAUUUUGGCAUGGGUAGGAUUAGGUCUGUGGCAGUCAUGACAUUUUGGCAUGGGUAGGAUUAGGUCUGUGGCAGUCAUGACAUUUUGGCAUGGGUAGGAUUAGGUCUGUGGCAGUCAUGACAUUUUGGCAUGGGUAGGAUUAGGUCUGUGGCAGUCAUG